GGAGUGAUUUUUACCACCGAGUUUUAUGGAUGUCAUUCAACAAAGGCGAGGUGAGCAGGGUGAAAGCAUAAGCCAGCACAACCCAAAACUAAUUAAAGAAUCACAAAGGCCUUCGGAAAUCAUCUGGGCAGGAUGCUGCUGGCUGUGCAUGCACGUCCCCUGGGGCUGACCACUCUCUUCACCGGAAUACAGGCAAGUGAAGCAGGGCAGUGUGCCCGGUGGAGGAUUUGCCUCAUCAACAUGCUCUCCGAGCCCCACACUGCAGAGAAGAGCAGAAAGCAACGUUAGCAGGUUACCCAAGUUGGAAGCUGUGGUAGGCUGAAAAAUGGCCCUGAAAGAUAGCCAGAUUCUAUGCCCUGGCACCUGGGAUUAUCAUCUUAUAUGGCAAAAGGACUUUGCAGAUGUUAUGUCAGAG
Long non-coding RNA from Fukomys damarensis (Damara mole-rat), 415 nucleotides. RefSeq lists it as uncharacterized. Lineage: Eukaryota; Metazoa; Chordata; Mammalia; Rodentia; Bathyergidae. The record is from RefSeq and is a predicted model, not a curated record. The transcript has 3 exons.